GACGAACGCUGGCGGCGUGCCUAAUACAUGCAAGUCGAGCGGACUGAAUGGGAGCUUGCUCUUGUUCGGUCAGCGGCGGACGGGUGAGUAACACGUGGGCAACCUGCCCGCAAGACCGGGAUAACUCCGGGAAACCGGAGCUAAUACCGGAUAACACCGAAGACCGCAUGGUCUUUGGUUGAAAGGCGGCGCAAGCUGCCACUUGCGGAUGGGCCCGCGGCGCAUUAGCUAGUUGGUGAGGUAACGGCUCACCAAGGCGACGAUGCGUAGCCGGCCUGAGAGGGUGACCGGCCACACUGGGACUGAGACACGGCCCAGACUCCUACGGGAGGCAGCAGUAGGGAAUCUUCCGCAAUGGGCGAAAGCCUGACGGAGCGACGCCGCGUGAGCGAAGAAGGCCUUCGGGUCGUAAAGCUCUGUUGUGAGGGACGAAGGAGCGCCGUUUGAAGAAGGCGGCGCGGUGACGGUACCUCACGAGGAAGCCCCGGCGAACUACGU
This 498-nucleotide ribosomal RNA is filed under the name uncultured bacterium. RNAcentral describes it as "partial 16S ribosomal RNA". It matches the Rfam family "Bacterial small subunit ribosomal RNA", at positions 28 to 506 of the family's 1533-position model. The record is from RNAcentral.